AGAAUCAACGCUGGCGGCGUGCCUAACACAUGCAAGUCGCACGAGAAAGGGACUUCGGUCCUGAGUACAGUGGCGCACGGGUGAGUAACACGUGAAUAAUCUACCUCCGAGUGGGGAAUAACUGAGAGAAAUCUUAGCUAAUACCGCAUAACACUUACGAGUCAAAGCAGCAAUGCGCUUGGAGAGGAGUUCGCGGCAGAUUAGUUAGUUGGCGGGUAAUGGCCCACAGACGAUGAUCUGUAU
RNAcentral lists this ribosomal RNA (243 nucleotides) under uncultured bacterium. Its description in RNAcentral is "partial small subunit ribosomal RNA". It matches the Rfam family "Bacterial small subunit ribosomal RNA", at positions 26 to 286 of the family's 1533-position model. The record is from RNAcentral.